RNAcentral lists this ribosomal RNA (490 nucleotides) under uncultured bacterium. Its description in RNAcentral is "partial 16S ribosomal RNA". It matches the Rfam family "Bacterial small subunit ribosomal RNA", at positions 30 to 507 of the family's 1533-position model. The record is from RNAcentral.
AUUGAACGCUGGCGGCAGGCUUAACACAUGCAAGUCGAGCGGUAGCACAGGGGAGCUUGCUCCCUGGGUGACGAGCGGCGGACGGGUGAGUAAUGUCUGUGAAACUGCCUGAUGGAGGGGGGUAACUACUGGAAACGGUAGCUAAUACCGCAUAACGUCGCAAGACCAAAGAGGGGGACCUUCUGGCCUCUUGCCAUCAGAUGUGCCCAGAUGGGAUUAGCUAGUAGGUGGGGUAAUGGCUCACCUAGGCGACGAUCCCUAGCUGGUCUGAGAGGAUGACCAGCCACACUGGAACUGAGACACGGUCCAGACUCCUACGGGAGGCAGCAGUGGGGAAUAUUGCACAAUGGGCGCAAGCCUGAUGCAGCCAUGCCGCGUGUGUGAAGAAGGCCUUCGGGUUGUAAAGCACUUUCAGCGAGGAGGAAGGUGGUGAGCUUAAUACGUUCAUCAAUUGACGUUACUCGCAGAAGAAGCACCGGCUAACUCCGUG